UACGUAGGGGGCGAGCGUUACCCGGAUUUACUGGGCGUAAAGAGCGUGUAGGCGGCUGGCCAAGCGUGAUGUGAAAUCUUCGGGCUUAACCCGAAAACUGCAUUGCGAACUGGUCUGGCUAGAGUGUGUGAGAGGGUAGUGGAAUUCCCGGUGUAGCGGUGAAAUGCGUAGAUAUCGUGAGGAACACCAGAGGCGAAGGCGGCUACCUGGACAAUUGCUGACGCUCAGGCACGAAAGCGUGGGGAGCAAAAGGG
RNAcentral lists this ribosomal RNA (254 nucleotides) under uncultured bacterium. RNAcentral describes it as "partial 16S ribosomal RNA". It matches the Rfam family "Bacterial small subunit ribosomal RNA", at positions 524 to 776 of the family's 1533-position model. The record is from RNAcentral.